AAAUAUGGAGAUACAAGUGCUCGAUUCACUUGGUACUUCACAAGAUCGCAAAGACCUCACUGACUCUAUUAAAGGACUACAAAGACAAAUAGAUAUGAUAUCUCAACGUAAGGAGUUAAAAGACCACAGGUGGCCAGACCUCCAAGUUGCUUCUUGGCCGCUCAGAGAAAUAAACAUGGGAUAUGCAAAGCAGACAGAUAGCUCUUCAUGUGGCCUCUUUCUUUUGAACUAUAUCGAAUACUGGACAGGAGAUGAACUGUCUGACAGUUUUACCCAGGAUGACAUGUCACACUUUAGGAAAAAAAUGGCUGCUAUAUUACUAUCUUCAGACCUGAAUAAGAGAAGGGGGUGUCUGUUAUACAAAAAUGAAAAAGAAGUUGACUCUGGAAGCCCAUCUGAUGUUGAGAUAUUAGAAAACCCAACAGAUUCUAAUAAGAGGAAACUACUCCACGUGCUGGAUGAUAGCGAAGUAGUGUUUGAAGAUGAGGAAGGCCCUAUUACUCAAGCAGACUUGCAAAGGUGGUUUGUUGAUGAUUGGGAUAAAAGAGCUCAUGUAAAAGUCUCUAACGAUGGUUGCACCAAUGACUUUUUAAUGGUUGGUCUUUCCACAAAGGACAUGCCAGUGACCAAAGCCGAUUCAAUAGAUGUUUUAUGUGAUUAUAUCAUGGCAAUAGAAGACGAUACGACACUAGAGAGAACAUGGGUGCAAAGUUUCAAUCCUUUUAAGAUAGAAAUAUCUGUCAAAGACCUGCAAAACAUAUUAACGACAACUCAAGAUAUGAUUCUAAGAUGUUUUGAUAUGGCUGUUCGGCUGCUUGCCAAUAAAGAGUCACGUAGACCGAAAGAAGAAAUCAUAAAUAAUAGAAAGCAUUAUAUGGACAUGCGUUUUUGGAGAAUGGUUGGUUUUGGUAAACUUCCAAAGUAUCAUCAGGAUCCUACAACAGAAGAGUUAGCCAAAACACUCGAUUGUUGGCCAUCAAUGAAUUAUUAUAUCACGGGUUGUAGAUAUGUUCUCAUGCCAUGGAAAUUCAAUGGAUGUUACGCCCUUUUCGUAAUAGAUCAUGUUAAAAAGCAUGUGACUUUUAUUGAUUUUACACCGACUCAAGAUUGGUGUAAACACAUGCCAUACAAGAGGUUCGCGGAAGCGAUUAUCAUGGCCUCAAAAAAAUAUAAGAUUGCUUACAGCAAGAAACGUUCUGCAUGGGCGGAGGAUAUCUUUAAGUGGGAACAUACAAUUCAGACUGGUGUUCCAAUUGACUUAAGAGGGUUUAAUACCAGCUACCUCGUUCUACAAGCUAUGGCCAUGUGGGGGAAUGACAGACGACUGAAAUUUGUUGGGGAUGCAAAGACUCUUCGAAGGAACUUUGUGAUUGAUCUGUUAAGUUAUGAGGAUAAUUCGUGCCGAUAUGCCAUCCCUGCAAACAUACAACAGAGACUCAUCGAUAUCGCUAAAAAGGAUUAGCUGAUUAGUUGUCGACAUAUUUGUCUGUAAUUAAAAAUUCUAAAUUAACUUUUUAGAAUUAAUUUGUGUGAUAUUGAUAAUGUUUUCCACGUAUAUUUUGCAUAUUAUAGUGAUUUUUGUCGUUCCGUAUCAAUGUUUCAUACAAAUUUUUUACUUCCAUCGCAACGCACGAGCACAUAUCUAUACUAUAUAUUGUUAACAAGGGCCAAGUAAGUUCUGCGCCAAGCAUUUAAAUUUCACUUCAAUUACUUCAUAAUCUUUUAUCUGGUGCAUGAUAAUAAAACUAUUUAAUUUUUAACAAUUUGUUGUAGGCAUUGCUUAUGGAUUGUGG
RNAcentral lists this unclassified non-coding RNA (1793 nucleotides) under Zea mays. Its description in RNAcentral is "misc RNA Zm00001eb109240". Lineage: Eukaryota; Viridiplantae; Streptophyta; Magnoliopsida; Poales; Poaceae. The record is from RNAcentral.